AUGAGGAGAAGAAUUAUCCUUCUUGUUGCCCUGAUGCUUGUCCUGCUUGUCCUGGUGCUGCUUCUUAGACUUGUCAUCUUGUUUAUUAGGCUUCUUAUGCUUUCGCUUAGUUCUAAAAUGUCCAUACUCUCCACAACCAUGACAUCUAAAUUUCCUCUUAUCAAAACUAGAGUUUUGACCUCUUCCAUUAUGAUCAUCCCAGUUUCUCUCCCUGUUGAUUUUGUCCCUCAAAUCACCUCCUUGAUGCUUCUUCUGCCAACGCCUCCUAUCUUCACCAAGGUGCAACUCCUGAUGAUGUGA
This 300-nucleotide ribosomal RNA is filed under the name Triticum aestivum (bread wheat). RNAcentral describes it as "partial small subunit ribosomal RNA". Lineage: Eukaryota; Viridiplantae; Streptophyta; Magnoliopsida; Poales; Poaceae. The record is from RNAcentral.